AUUAACUGCACACAUAUCAUUAGGUCAUCAUCAAUAUUUUAAGCUAUUUGGAAAGUUAAUUGACAGCAAAAUAUCAAUAACUAGAUGGUGGUAAAAUUAAUGUUAGUUCUGUAGUGACCACAUUUCUUAGCUAAUUCAUACAAACUGUGUCUUCAUUCUAAGACGUGCAUUUUACCAAAUUCAUUGUGAACUGUAGCAGGUGUGUGGUAGGUUCAGUUUACAUUCUGAUGUUUAUUAAAGAAAACAGCCACUGCACAUAGCUUAGAUAUAGUUUAGAUAUAACACAAAUAUGUAAUUGCACAGGACUUUCCACACUAGACCAAACAUGG
This is a non-coding RNA of Pelobates cultripes (western spadefoot toad), 329 nucleotides long. The record is from the annotation of a GenBank genome assembly. NCBI's taxonomy places the organism in Eukaryota, Metazoa, Chordata, Amphibia, Anura, Pelobatidae.